GAGAAAGUCAUAAAGGUUAUGGGGUUGACUUGAAAUUAAUCUGAGAGGGUUCAAUUCCUCCCUUUCUUA
RNAcentral lists this transfer RNA (69 nucleotides) under Monodelphis domestica (gray short-tailed opossum). It matches the Rfam family "tRNA". Rfam says of the family: Transfer RNA (tRNA) molecules are approximately 80 nucleotides in length. Their secondary structure includes four short double-helical elements and three loops (D, anti-codon, and T loops). Further hydrogen bonds mediate the characteristic L-shaped molecular structure. tRNAs have two regions of fundamental functional importance: the anti-codon, which is responsible for specific mRNA codon recognition, and the 3' end, to which the tRNAs corresponding amino acid is attached (by aminoacyl-tRNA synthetases). tRNAs cope with the degeneracy of the genetic code in two manners: having more than one tRNA (with a specific anti-codon) for a particular amino acid; and 'wobble' base-pairing, i.e. permitting non-standard base-pairing at the 3rd anti-codon position. Lineage: Eukaryota; Metazoa; Chordata; Mammalia; Didelphimorphia; Didelphidae. The record is from Rfam by way of RNAcentral.